Sinocyclocheilus rhinocerous is the source of this 2228-nucleotide long non-coding RNA. RefSeq lists it as uncharacterized. The record is from RefSeq and is a predicted model, not a curated record. NCBI's taxonomy places the organism in Eukaryota, Metazoa, Chordata, Actinopteri, Cypriniformes, Cyprinidae. The transcript is spliced from 3 exons.
CAGCUGUCUAAUCCCUUGUAGGUGUGUUUUGUCAUCACACACCCACAUGGUGGUUGUAUUUCCUUUUAGCCGUCCUCUUGUGCCCCCAUUCCUCCCUCUUCUCCAGCUCUGGCUCUUUUGUAACAGCACUAUGUCUGUUUUAACUGUAGGAGUGGCUGUUGGCUCACCGCAUGUCUCUCUUGUGUGUGUGUGUGUGUGUGUAUGGCUGGUUUUUAGCCUUUUCUGCCCUGUUGCCCUCUUCCUCUUCUCCUACACUGUUUCCCUGCUCUCUAAUUUCACAACCUUGCGAAUAUUGAUCCAGUUUAUCUUCCUGGAAAUAUGCUGAGUUUUUAACCAGAAUGACGACACGGUGGAGCGAGCGAUCUAUAAUGACAAGCUUAAUUGGAUUUGUAUGGCAUGCUGAAUUCUGAAUCUCUGGCUCUGUGUCUAAUAUGUUUUUCUUCCUUAUUAACCUCUCUCCACUCUUCACUGCAUGGUCACAGGGUCAGUUCUGUGCAUGGCUCCUGCUAGCAGCAUUGUACCCAUGAUGUACAGUGCUACGCCUGCUACUGUCUCUGCAGCAACAACUCCUGCCACAAGUGUCCCCUACGCAACAACAGCACCAGCCAAUCAGAUCAUCUUGAAGUAAACCACAGAAGAGGAACGGGGUGUCAGGAAGCUGCUUUGAGAAACCCAAAAAGAUCCCCGUGUAAAUACGACCUGCCCUCCCCUUUAGAACUACAACAACCUGCAUGCUAAAGCAUAAACACACAAAACACACACCAUAUACCUGUUAUGCUUGCAAAAGUGACUCAACCGGUUUCUAACUUAAAAGAUAUAAAAACGAGAUAAGAAAACAUAUAUAUAUAUAUAUAUAUAUAUAUGUGUGUUUAAUAUAUAUAAUGUACAGCACGUUUCAUUGAGGCAUAAGUGAGAUUCAUCCCAAUGAUCGGUCACCCGUCAGAUAAUGUGUAUUUUCCUCCCAUGGUUGUUUUAAAUACAAAUGCACAAUAAGUGGGCGACGAGCUAGGAAACACACUCUCAAACAGUUUGCACUGUCGGAAAUAGUGCUUAAUAAGUGCUUGAUUGUCUUGAACGGGAGGACAUCUCCUGCAGAGUAUGUUUUAAACAUCCCCAUGCACCCUCUAGAUAGGGGAAAGAGGGGUUUUAUUUCUUAUUUUAAUACACAAAAACACCGAAUGUCAAACGGCGGACACAAAGAAGAUUGUCUACUGGUCAGAAUGCGCUCCUCUUCUUGGACUUGCGCUAUCUUCGGAAAGAUUAGAGAAGCUAUUAUUUCCAACUCUUCAUCCCCAGUGGCCAAAGAAAGGUUUACAACGACACAAAGCGCAUAACGGUUGAAAAUCAGUCAGCGUCGGAAGUGCGAAUGUGGCAAACCACGUGCCAUGCAAUCACUUUUCUGUCUGCGUCUCUGCUAAAGGACUGUGUUUUACUCCUUUCUUUUUUGUUUUUAAAUGGACACUGAAUGAUUUUGAUGCACCCGUGGAAACACUGGCCAUCAGGGAGUCGACUCUGGCUUCUAUCCCGUGCCAAGGGCUUACAUUAAACUGGAGCGCUGCUGUAAACAAACUCGUACACGAGACGGACUUCUCCAAAUUGUCUGGGGCCUGUUUGUAGUCCCACUCACACAGUGCCCAGUGAGCAGAAAUGACGAUGACGAGGGGGAAACGUUGCAGUAGACUAUCUUUGACACAUUGUGAAUGGAGGGUGCUGUGCUCUCGCCGAUAAUCCUGUUUUAUUUGAUAAACAAGUAGAAGUGCCUAAAAAAAAAAAAAUAUUUUACACAGCAAGCAUCUUAAGAAGAUGAUUUUAUGUGGGGUUGGGGGUUAUAAAACCAUUUAAAGCAAAGCUCCUGAAAUGAUUUUGGACAGAAAAGAGACAAAAACGAAACAAAACAUGUAGUUAAAUGCAUUUCAUGCACAUCAUGGUCUGUUUCAUUGUUUCAUUACACAAUAUCGAUGUUGCUAGAAAUCGGAGCAAGAUGGCAUAGGCAGAAUGUUUGUUUUGUUGUACGAUGUUAGCUUUUAUGCUUUCUUGGAGUAGUUGACAUUGGAAAUGUAAGGAACUUCGAGCUAAAUGUCUGUAACACGCAUGACGUUUUGAGUUUGGUAAACGAUUGUCAUUGCGGUGUGUUCUUAACUAGUUAUGUUGAGUUUGAGGGCUGUCCUCAGUUAAAGAAAUUGUUCACUCAAAAAUAAAAAAAUUGUUGUUAAUGGUACUCGCCCUCA